GCAGGUGGCUCUUGGCAGAGAUAAGCCCUCCAGGAGCAGAUGUCUUUCAACAUCACUCCAGCAGCUGUGACUGUCUUUUGUCCUGAGUCAUGGGGCCCCAGUGUCCACCAUAGGGAACUGGAGGAAAAGGACAUAAUCCUUAGCUAAGAGAGAAGCAUGCUGUUUGGUUGUUGAACCUUCUGCUGGGAUCGUCUACCCUCCCAGGAGCUCCUUUGGAAGGGCCCUCUUUUCAAGAUGACUCAUUACUAGCACUGAAGGCUCACAUCUUGGGAGAUCUUUCAGUCCUGGACAGAUUGGGAUGCCUGGUCACCCUAAGACAUAUGGACCCAAAGCAGCCACAACAUCACAUGUUUAGACUUUUCCAUUGUGAAUCAAAUACCCAUUUCCAUGCCCAUCGAACUUUGGGGACUCAUGCAAAACCUUCCAAGCGGGCCCUGUGAAGCCCUCACACUAGGCUUGAGGCAGAGGGGAAGUGUAUACUCCUGCGCCUAUUGAAGUAGAAAACAGAACACAGCAGCUAA
Molecule: long non-coding RNA, 521 nt
Organism: Suricata suricatta (meerkat)
Lineage: Eukaryota; Metazoa; Chordata; Mammalia; Carnivora; Herpestidae
Exons: 3
Source: RefSeq, a predicted model, not a curated record